AGCCGUUCGCGCGACUGGCGAGAAAAGAUGGGGAACCAUCGGGGAACGCGAACCUUGUCAGAGCCGCUCGCCUGGGCACCCAUC
RNAcentral lists this non-coding RNA (84 nucleotides) under Pelagibacterium sp. RNAcentral describes it as "ZTP sequence". It matches the Rfam family "ZMP/ZTP riboswitch aptamer (pfl RNA motif)". From Rfam's summary of the family: Previously known as pfl RNA. Lineage: Bacteria; Pseudomonadati; Pseudomonadota; Alphaproteobacteria; Hyphomicrobiales; Devosiaceae. The record is from RNAcentral.